UCUCCGUUGGUGAACCAGCGGAGGGAUCAUUAAAGAGUUGUAAAACUCCCAACCCCUGUGAAAAUACCACUGUUGCCUCGGCGGGCCGCCCGUGGGACGGCUACCCUGUAGCUCGACCGCCCGCGUACCGCCGAUGGAAAACCAAAACUCUUGUUUUUUGUAACAUCUCUGAGUACAACUUUUAAAUAAGUCAAAACUUUCAACAACGGAUCUCUUGGUUCUGGCAUCGAUGAAGAACGCAGC
RNAcentral lists this unclassified non-coding RNA (243 nucleotides) under uncultured fungus. RNAcentral's name for it is "sequence contains ITS1, 5.8S rRNA gene". The stretch from base 195 to 243 matches the Rfam family "5.8S ribosomal RNA", at positions 1 to 49 of the family's 154-position model. The record is from RNAcentral. Lineage: Eukaryota; Fungi.